CCCCCCCCCCCCUUUUUUUUUCAAUAUACUCCCCUCCUGGUUACCACCAGGAAUAAUGGGUGCUGCAUUUCUGACGCUUGCAUGACCAAGAAGCAUCAACUUACUGCACUGAUCUGCAAGAGCAUCAGUAUGCCCCAGCAGUACUGUGCAAUUUACUGCAUUGAUCUACAGUUGCACAUCCUAAUAACCAGCUUCUUCAUUCCUGUCCACCUUUUGUUGCCCAUGCCAUGGAAACGAACAGGUCUGAGCCACUAAGUUUGCUGCUGAACUCCUUCCACACUACCAGGUCCGAGCCACCUAGUUUGUUGUCCAUGCCAUGCUGUUGCACCUCUGAUGCUUGUCUGAUAGACAUGCUUGUCUAAUAGACACAGCACCAACAGUAGUUUAACCUACUCCUGCUCCCAUAUUUUACUGUCCAUUCCUCUGUAUAUGUUUCCAGCUGAUGCCACAUAUGAUUGACACCACUGAACUGAAUAAGCUGUUGUAUCAAACCUUCCCAUUUGCUACUGUCCAUCCCAGUUGAUGCCUUAUAUGAUUCUACAGUAACCAGUUGUAGUUCCUAACUGUUGUAGGAACAAAUGCCACCAGCAGUUUGUGUGUGUGUUCCCCUCCUGAUGCACACCAGCAGCAACAAAUGCUGCCUUGUGCACCAACAACAAUCAAACCAGGCUGCAAAGUUACAGCACCUUGUGCCUUUCCAUGCUGCUCCUCUAAUGCAUGUCUGAGAAAGGCCAGCAUUAGUGGAAACUGCUGUUGUUGUCCUAUUCUAUCUCCCAUACCAUGUUACAAACAUGUUGCAUUACUUGUUUUUGUACUUCUCCUUGCAUAAACACUAGCUGUUCCUCCAACUAAACAAUUGUCCACUGUAAUCAACUGCAGUGCCUUGCAACUCUAACCCGCUGCUUACCAGCUGCUACAUAUCCACCAGGCUACACUAGAAACCAAUUCCAACUCUGCAACACAUCAUUUCCAUAUACCUAGAAUCCAGGCUCUCCACCCAAAAACAGUUUUAAAUGAAUGGUUCCAUCAAUAUGUACCUUCCCAUCAAGCAUUUGAACCAAAAAAACCAUAUUUCCCAUUUUGCCCCUGAUCAUGAAAAAUCAGUCUUGAUAAUCCAAACCACCAGGUUCUCCAUACAAACAUAUUUUAAAUGAUUGUAUACAUCAUUAUCCAUCAUUCUAACAAACCUUUCGACCUAAAAAACCAUAUUUCCCAUUUUGCCCCUCAUUAAGAAACUAGAAUUUUAUUUUCUUCUGUGUGAUAUUUUUUUGUUGUUAAUAGACUUGAAAUUUUUUGUAUUGUAUUACUUAGAUUAAAAUUUGCAGGUCCAUUUGAAUCUCAAAAGGCAAAAAAAGUUGCUGAAGGGGCUCAAGAUGCUCAAACUAGUGAAACUAGUACUUUAUUUUCUUUUGUGUAAUAUUUUCUUGUUGUUAGUGGCUUGGACGUUUUGUUUUGUUUGACGUACUUUAAAUUUUGCAGGUCCAUGUUAAUCUGAAAAGACAAAUAAAGUGAGAGGAAUAACAUUUGUAAGAAAGUUUUGCGACUGAAACCUGGAGAAAAGUUAAGAGUCACUUUCUACCAAAAUUGAGUUGUUGGGCCAAAUCACGCCUGAUUUUCUAGACACUUGGGUUUGCUAGUUCGUGAUUGUAAUAUGUGCCCGCUGCGAGUACACUCAUGGUUGGACAUCGAAGAACAUAAGCUUGAGCACAUGUGGAAAGCUGUUACUGAAAUAUUUGACAGUGAUGACAUGAUUGAUCAUAGAGGUCAUGUUCUGCAACAUAUGAGAAAACUUUGGAAUAAUUGGAGAGGAUCAUUGCACAAGAAAAUGAAAUCGAAGUCAUUGCAUGAGGUUCUAAAAGAUGAGGUGGCAGGAGUAGAAAAGAGUGAUUGGCAAUGGUUGGUCAAGGAGCAUUUCUUAUCUUAAGGAAGCAAGUACAAGAAACUCAGUCAAUAGGUCUAAGGUAGUUAUGCCUCAUCGUACGGGUAGCAAACCUUAUAGAGAGAUUAAUUACGAAAUGGGAGGCAAAGAUGGUAAUCCACCAAACAUGGAAAUUAUUUUCUUUGAGACUCAUAAGAAGGAUGAUGAGCUUGUCAAACCUGAAACCAUUGAAAAAUAUGCUGAAAUCCAAGAGCUGAUAUAAUCUGAACCGUCUCUUACUAAUAUUGAGGUAGUGGAAAGGUGCUUUGGAUGUCAAUGCAAAAGUCAUGCAGUUGGAUUUGGGGGUGGGAUAACCGCUAAGGAGUUGAAAGGUGGUACCACCUCAAAGGCUGCAUUAUUGGAAGAGCUUAAAACAACUAAAAAAGAAAAGGAAUGACUACAAAACCGCAUGGAUAUUCUGGAGAGUAAAUAUGAACGGCUUGAACGUAUAUUGGUUCGUCAGCCUUCAUCACCUCCACUAGAUCAAGAACUUGAAGAUUGAAGAAAUGUGCUUGAACAAAGUGCAGAGCAAGUUGAAGCGCAUUAUGUUUAUUGUUUUAUUAGUAUUGAUGCAGAGACGUCAUUUGUACAUAUGCUACAAUUUCCUUUUCUCAAUUUUUAGGAUUUGAUGGAUUUAUUUUGUUGGACAUAUAUACACGCUCACAUUGCCGGUCCCAAGCCCGGAUAAAGGAGGAGGGUUGCCGAGGGUCAAUCGGAAACAGCCUCCCUACCCAGGUAGGGGUAAGGCUGCGUACAUCUUACCCUCCCCAGACCCCACUAUUGUGGGAUUACACUGGGUAGUGACCAUAU
Molecule: long non-coding RNA, 2728 nt
Organism: Lycium barbarum (goji berry)
Lineage: Eukaryota; Viridiplantae; Streptophyta; Magnoliopsida; Solanales; Solanaceae
Exons: 6
Source: RefSeq, a predicted model, not a curated record